CCUACGGGCGGCAGCAGUGGGGAAUAUUGGACAAUGGGCGAAAGCCUGAUCCAGCCAUGCCGCGUGUGUGAAGAAGGCCUUCGGGUUGUAAAGCACUUUCAGUGGGGAAGAAAGCCUUGGGGCUAAUACCCUCGAGGAAGGACAUCACCCACAGAAGAAGCACCGGCUAACUCCGUGCCAGCAGCCGCGGUAAUACGGAGGGUGCGAGCGUUAAUCGGAAUUACUGGGCGUAAAGCGCGCGUAGGCGGUCUGAUAAGCCGGUUGUGAAAGCCCCGGGCUCAACCUGGGAACGGCAUCCGGAACUGUCAGGCUAGAGUGCAGGAGAGGAAGGUAGAAUUCCCGGUGUAGCGGUGAAAUGCGUAGAGAUCGGGAGGAAUACCAGUGGCGAAGGCAGCCUUCUGGACUGACACUGACGCUGAGGUGCGAAAGCGUGGGUAGCAAACAGGAUUAGAUACCCCGGUAGUC
This 465-nucleotide ribosomal RNA is filed under the name Vreelandella stevensii. RNAcentral's name for it is "partial 16S ribosomal RNA". It matches the Rfam family "Bacterial small subunit ribosomal RNA", at positions 338 to 795 of the family's 1533-position model. Lineage: Bacteria; Pseudomonadati; Pseudomonadota; Gammaproteobacteria; Oceanospirillales; Halomonadaceae. The record is from RNAcentral.